Molecule: ribosomal RNA, 73 nt
Filed under: Nostoc sp. UCD122
Lineage: Bacteria; Bacillati; Cyanobacteriota; Cyanophyceae; Nostocales; Nostocaceae
Description: partial 16S ribosomal RNA
Rfam family: Bacterial small subunit ribosomal RNA
Source: RNAcentral
CAAAACGGAGAGUUUGAUCCUGGCUCAGGAUGAACGCUGGCGGUAUGCUUAACACAUGCAAGUCGAACGGUGU